UACGAAGGGUGCAAGCGUUAAUCGGAAUUACUGGGCGUAAAGCGCGCGUAGGUGGUUUUGUAAGUUGGAGGUGAAAUCCCCGGGCUCAACCUGGGAACUGCCUCCAAAACUGCAUGACUAGAGUACGGUAGAGGGUGGUGGAAUUUCCUGUGUAGCGGUGAAAUGCGUAGAUAUAGGAAGGAACACCAGUGGCGAAGGCGACCACCUGGACUGAUACUGACACUGAGGUGCGAAAGCGUGGGGAGCAAACAGG
This 253-nucleotide ribosomal RNA is filed under the name uncultured bacterium. RNAcentral describes it as "partial 16S ribosomal RNA". It matches the Rfam family "Bacterial small subunit ribosomal RNA", at positions 524 to 776 of the family's 1533-position model. RNAcentral also lists the same sequence under 1 other name. The record is from RNAcentral.